This 452-nucleotide ribosomal RNA is filed under the name uncultured Pseudomonas sp. RNAcentral describes it as "bacterial SSU rRNA". It matches the Rfam family "Bacterial small subunit ribosomal RNA", at positions 931 to 1382 of the family's 1533-position model. Lineage: Bacteria; Pseudomonadati; Pseudomonadota; Gammaproteobacteria; Pseudomonadales; Pseudomonadaceae. The record is from RNAcentral.
AGUGGAGCAUGUGGUUUAAUUCGAAGCAACGCGAAGAACCUUACCAGGCCUUGACAUGCAGAGAACUUUCCAGAGAUGGAUUGGUGCCUUCGGGAACUCUGACACAGGUGCUGCAUGGCUGUCGUCAGCUCGUGUCGUGAGAUGUUGGGUUAAGUCCCGUAACGAGCGCAACCCUUGUCCUUAGUUACCAGCACGUUAUGGUGGGCACUCUAAGGAGACUGCCGGUGACAAACCGGAGGAAGGUGAGGAUGACGUCAAGUCAUCAUGGCCCUUACGGCCUGGGCUACACACGUGCUACAAUGGUCGGUACAAAGGGUUGCCAAGCCGCGAGGUGGAGCUAAUCCCAUAAAACCGAUCGUAGUCCGGAUCGCAGUCUGCAACUCGACUGCGUGAAGUCGGAAUCGCUAGUAAUCGUGAAUCAGAAUGUCACGGUGAAUACGUUCCCGGGCCUU